Long non-coding RNA from Cyanistes caeruleus (blue tit), 1086 nucleotides. The record is from Ensembl. NCBI's taxonomy places the organism in Eukaryota, Metazoa, Chordata, Aves, Passeriformes, Paridae.
AUGCUCCUUAGUGCCCAUGGCAUUGCUGCUCCAUCCUCGCUGCUGCUCUGCUCCUAUUGCUCUUCUCUGGUGCUCCCGGCUGGCCGAUUCCUGGUGCUGCUGGAGGCGAUGCUGUGGUUCACACAGCAUCAGGCACGCCGGGGGUGGGGGCUGCACCCGAGGGACAGGGGCUCCUUGCUGCUGCUGGUCCCUCCUGCAGCUGCAGCUGGUGUUUCCCUGUGGCAGGAGACGGGGGAGGGGGACCAUGGGAUGGAAAGUUGGCAGGCAGCAGAGAGGGGAGUGGAAAGAAUGAGCUCAAACCCAGAAAAAUGCGGCCGUGCUGGAGGAUGGGAGGAGUGGGAGGAGAGGCCAAGGGGGGCCACGGUGAGGCGCUGGGAAAGAGAGGGGGUGGAAGGAGGAGGGAGGGUGGAAGGAGAAGUUGCUGGCAGGGGGCCAGGAACUGCCUGUGGCCCCCAUCUGGGCCCACUCCUGGUGGUACCAACUGCUCCAGCGAGUGCUCUCGGGGCUAUCCCAGUGCCAUCUGCCUUUGGGCAGCCACUGGCUCCAGUGCUGUCUGUCCCUGGGUGGCCAUCGGUCCCAAUGUCAUCCAUCCCCGCGUGGCCACCAGCCCCAAUACAGUCUCCCCCCUGUCCCAUGGGCUCCCUGGUGCCACCAGCCCCGGUGCCCCCCACCCUGCUCCGGGACCCCGCUGGCUCCUCGCUGGCAUGUGGCCACCCUGGGACAGCAGCCCCCGACUCCUCCACCUCGCUCUGCACAGCGACGCUGCCCUUUGUGAGGAUUCCCAAGGCAGGCUGGCGUUCAGAAGGGGGCAGUGACGGGGUCAGGAGCUGUGCUGUGCCAGGCUGGGCCGUGGCAGGCAGCAGGGUGGGAUGCAGGGGGGUGUGUGGGCUCACUGCCUUCUGCUGCCCAUCCUUCCCCGCUCUGGGAGCAGCAGUCGCAGGGAGAGGGCAGCAUCCCGGGCAGGAGGCCAACCCCGCAGAGAGGGGUUCCCAGGAGGCCUUCCCAUCUGCCCUCCGCCUGAAACACGGAACUAUGAAUCACCCCGGUCCUGAAAUAGAUUCUUUAUAUUUAAAAUACAAAAUUUAA